Molecule: ribosomal RNA, 424 nt
Filed under: uncultured Sphingobacteriales bacterium
Lineage: Bacteria; Pseudomonadati; Bacteroidota; Sphingobacteriia; Sphingobacteriales
Description: bacterial SSU rRNA
Rfam family: Bacterial small subunit ribosomal RNA
Source: RNAcentral
UAGGGAAUAUUGGGCAAUGGACGCAAGUCUGACCCAGCCAUGCCGCGUGCAGGAUGAAGGCCCUAUGGGUUGUAAACUGCUUUUUUACGGGAAGAAACACUCCGACGUGUCGGAGCUUGACGGUACCGUAAGAAUAAGGAUCGGCUAACUCCGUGCCAGCAGCCGCGGUAAUACGGAGGAUCCAAGCGUUGUCCGGAUUCAUUGGGUUUAAAGGGUGCGUAGGCGGGCUAUUAAGUCAGAGGUGAAAUCUUGCGGCUCAACCGUAAAAUUGCCUUUGAAACUGGUAGCCUUGAAUUCGGUCGAGGUGGAUGGAAUGUGUCAUGUAGCGGUGAAAUGCUUAGAUAUGACCCAGAACACCAAUUGCGAAGGCAGUUCACUAGACCGACAUUGACGCUGAGGCACGAAAGCGUGGGUAGCGAACAGG